RNAcentral lists this ribosomal RNA (207 nucleotides) under uncultured bacterium. RNAcentral describes it as "partial 16S ribosomal RNA". It matches the Rfam family "Bacterial small subunit ribosomal RNA", at positions 568 to 774 of the family's 1533-position model. The record is from RNAcentral.
UCCGUCGGCGUCCUGAUAAGUUUCUUGUUUAAGACCAAGGCUCAACUUUGGAAAAGCAAGAAAAACUAUCAGGAUAGAGUUUGUUCGAGGAAGCUAGAAUUCUUGGUGGAGGGGUGAAAUCCGUAGAUAUCAAGAGGAAUACCAAGCGCGAAGGCAGGCUUCUAGGACAUAACUGACGCUCAGGGACGAAAGUAUGGGUAGCAAAAG